UUAAGUUAUUAAGGGCGCACGGUGGAUGCCUUGGCACUAGAAGCCGAUGAAGGACGUUACUAACGACGAUAUGCUUUGGGUAGCUGUAAGUAAGCGUUGAUCCAGAGAUUUCCGAAUGGGGGAACCCAGCAUGAGUUAUGUCAUGUUAUCGACAUGUGAAUUUAUAGCAUGUCAGAAGGCAGACCCGGAGAACUGAAACAUCUUAGUACCCGGAGGAAGAGAAAGAAAAAUCGAUUCCCUGAGUAGCGGCGAGCGAAACGGGAAGAGCCCAAACCAACAAGCUUGCUUGUUGGGGUUGUAGGACACUCUAUACGGAGUUACAAAAGAACAUGUUAGACGAAUCAUCUGGAAAGAUGAAUCAAAGAAGGUAAUAAUCCUGUAGUCGAAAACAUAUUCUCUCUUGAGUGGAUCCUGAGUACGACGGAGCACGUGAAAUUCCGUCGGAAUCUGGGAGGACCAUCUCCUAAGGCUAAAUACUCUCUAGUGACCGAUAGUGAACCAGUACCGUGAGGGAAAGGUGAAAAGUACCCCGGAAGGGGAGUGAAAGAGAACUUGAAACCGUGUGCUUACAAGUAGUCAGAGCCCGUUAAUGGGUGAUGGCGUGCCUUUUGUAGAAUGAACCGGCGAGUUACGAUCUGAUGCAAGGUUAAGCAGCAAAUGUGGAGCCGCAGCGAAAGCGAGUCUGAAUAGGGCGUUGAGUAUUUGGUCGUAGACCCGAAACCAGGUGAUCUACCCUUGGUCAGGUUGAAGUUCAGGUAACACUGAAUGGAGGACCGAACCGACUUACGUUGAAAAGUGAGCGGAUGAACUGAGGGUAGCGGAGAAAUUCCAAUCGAACUUGGAGAUAGCUGGUUCUCUCCGAAAUAGCUUUAGGGCUAGCCUCAAGUGAUGAUUAUUGGAGGUAGAGCACUGUUUGGACGAGGGGCCCCUCUCGGGUUACCGAAUUCAGACAAACUCCGAAUGCCAAUUAAUUUAACUUGGGAGUCAGAACAUGGGUGAUAAGGUCCGUGUUCGAAAGGGAAACAGCCCAGACCACCAGCUAAGGUCCCAAAAUAUAUGUUAAGUGGAAAAGGAUGUGGCGUUGCCCAGACAACUAGGAUGUUGGCUUAGAAGCAGCCAUCAUUUAAAGAGUGCGUAAUAGCUCACUAGUCGAGUGACACUGCGCCGAAAAUGUACCGGGGCUAAACAUAUUACCGAAGCUGUGGAUUGUCCUUUGGACAAUGGUAGGAGAGCGUUCUAAGGGCGUCGAAGCAUGAUCGCAAGGACAUGUGGAGCGCUUAGAAGUGAGAAUGCCGGUGUGAGUAGCGAAAGACGGGUGAGAAUCCCGUCCACCGAUUGACUAAGGUUUCCAGAGGAAGGCUCGUCCGCUCUGGGUUAGUCGGGUCCUAAGCUGAGGCCGACAGGCGUAGGCGAUGGAUAACAGGUUGAUAUUCCUGUACCACCUAGUAUCGUUUUAAUCGAUGGGGGGACGCAGUAGGAUAGGCGAAGCGUGCUGUUGGAGUGCACGUCCAAGCAGUAAGGCUGAGUGUUAGGCAAAUCCGGCACUCAUAAGGCUGAGCUGUGAUGGGGAGAGGAAAUUGUUUCCUCGAGUCGUUGAUUUCACACUGCCGAGAAAAGCCUCUAGAUAGAUAACAGGUGCCCGUACCGCAAACCGACACAGGUAGUCAAGAUGAGAAUUCUAAGGUGAGCGAGCGAACUCUCGUUAAGGAACUCGGCAAAAUGACCCCGUAACUUCGGGAGAAGGGGUGCUCUUUAGGGUUCACGCCCAGAAGAGCCGCAGUGAAUAGGCCCAAGCGACUGUUUAUCAAAAACACAGGUCUCUGCUAAACCGUAAGGUGAUGUAUAGGGGCUGACGCCUGCCCGGUGCUGGAAGGUUAAGAGGAGUGGUUAGCUUCUGCGAAGCUACGAAUCGAAGCCCCAGUAAACGGCGGCCGUAACUAUAACGGUCCUAAGGUAGCGAAAUUCCUUGUCGGGUAAGUUCCG
Molecule: ribosomal RNA, 1983 nt
Filed under: Staphylococcus epidermidis
Lineage: Bacteria; Bacillati; Bacillota; Bacilli; Caryophanales; Staphylococcaceae
Description: bacterial LSU rRNA
Rfam family: Bacterial large subunit ribosomal RNA
Source: RNAcentral